This 98-nucleotide transfer RNA is filed under the name Azorhizobium sp. 32-67-21. Its description in RNAcentral is "tRNA-Arg". It matches the Rfam family "tRNA". Rfam says of the family: Transfer RNA (tRNA) molecules are approximately 80 nucleotides in length. The record is from RNAcentral. Lineage: Bacteria; Pseudomonadati; Pseudomonadota; Alphaproteobacteria; Hyphomicrobiales; Xanthobacteraceae.
GCACCCGUAGCUCAGCUGGAUAGAGCGCCGCCCUCCGAAGGCGGAGGCCACACGUUCGAAUCGUGUCGGCACACGUUCGAAUCGUGUCGGGUGCGCCA